UGGCCUGCUAAGGACUGGGAGCUAGAGUCUAUCCAUACCUGUGACGUUUUAGAGAUGAUAAAGGAACAUGUCUCUACUGUCAUUGGCCUACGAUCAGAUUCUAGUGUCACUGAUACUUGGGCGACGACAGAAAUUCAGCAGGUACACCUUGGUCAGCUGUAUGCUUCCUCCAUCUUAUAUGGAUACUUUCUGAAGUCUGCUUCAGUAAGGCAUCAAUUGGAUCGAUCUCUAGCUCUACCUCGACAGGAUCUCCAUGUUGCUCAACGAUCAAGCCUUCAGCAUUCGACAGGAUCUUCAUAUCGCUCAACUAUCAAGCCUUCAGUAUUUGGUCAUGGAUCAUCUAAACAGGAAGCUGCUGGUCAAAGUGUGAGGUCGUACGUGAUGGGAUUCGAUGCUGAAUCACUACAGAGAUGUGCGAGGUUGAAGUCAAAGGAGGCUUUGAACUUGAUUGAGAAGUACAGUUGUGCACUUUUCGGGGAUGAGAAGACGGGUCUGGUGGCAAGCGACGAGACUAUUGUGACGUCAUUUGCUAGCCUGAGGAGAUUGGUGUUGGAAGCAGCAGCUUUUGGUACUUUCCUGUGGGACACGGAAGAAUAUGUCAAUUCUGUAUAUACGCUCAAGGAAAACAACUGAAGAAGAU
RNAcentral lists this long non-coding RNA (640 nucleotides) under Linum usitatissimum (flax). RNAcentral's name for it is "long non-coding RNA (LUSI_LNC001949)". Lineage: Eukaryota; Viridiplantae; Streptophyta; Magnoliopsida; Malpighiales; Linaceae. The record is from RNAcentral.